This 161-nucleotide transfer RNA is filed under the name Niastella yeongjuensis. It matches the Rfam family "tRNA". Rfam says of the family: Transfer RNA (tRNA) molecules are approximately 80 nucleotides in length. Their secondary structure includes four short double-helical elements and three loops (D, anti-codon, and T loops). Lineage: Bacteria; Pseudomonadati; Bacteroidota; Chitinophagia; Chitinophagales; Chitinophagaceae. The record is from Rfam by way of RNAcentral.
GAAGCAGUAGCUCAGUUGGUUAGAGCAAAGAAAAGUUUUAAAAUUACUAUCGGUCAAUUUAAACAUACUUCAAUUCAAUUUGGUGAUCUGUUUGAGAAUUACCGUGGUCAAUUAUCACUUACAUCCAGCUUGUGUCGUUGGUUCGAGUCCAACCUGCUUCG